Molecule: ribosomal RNA, 250 nt
Filed under: uncultured Chroococcidiopsis sp.
Lineage: Bacteria; Bacillati; Cyanobacteriota; Cyanophyceae; Chroococcidiopsidales; Chroococcidiopsidaceae
Description: partial 16S ribosomal RNA
Rfam family: Bacterial small subunit ribosomal RNA
Source: RNAcentral
CUAGCUGUAAACGAUGGAUACUAGGCGUUGAGAGUAUCGACCCUCUCAGUGUCGUAGCUAACGCGUUAAGUAUCCCGCCUGGGGAGUACGCGCGCAAGCGUGAAACUCAAAGGAAUUGACGGGGGCCAGCACAAGCGGUGGAGUAUGUGGUUUAAUUCGAUGCAACGCGAAGAACCUUACCAGGGCUUGACAUGUCCGGAACCCUGCCCAAAGGCGGGGGUGCCUACGGGAACCGGAACACAGGUGGUGC